This 149-nucleotide small nucleolar RNA is filed under the name Sorex araneus (European shrew). RNAcentral's name for it is "Small nucleolar RNA SNORA70 (ENSSARG00000019163.1)". It matches the Rfam family "Small nucleolar RNA SNORA70". Rfam says of the family: snoRNA U70 seems to be exclusive to mammals and is a member of the H/ACA class of snoRNA which contain H (ANANNA) and ACA box motifs. H/ACA box snoRNAs are involved in the conversion of uridines to pseudouridines (5-ribosyluracil) a constituent of structural RNAs (transfer, ribosomal, small nuclear, and small nucleolar). Lineage: Eukaryota; Metazoa; Chordata; Mammalia; Eulipotyphla; Soricidae. The record is from RNAcentral.
CUAUAACCAAUUCAGCCAACUGUGCUCUUUCUCCAUGAGGAGCUAUGUGCAGCAGCUGCAAACAACUGCCUCCUUGAUCUCAUCUGCCUGAUCCCUUCCUUGACGCCUGUUGCUCCCAGAAGUUGCCCUAAGGGACCCUUGAGACUGCU